CAGAGCCUACCGAAUCCUGAUGAACUCCGAAUGCCGGUGGCUAUAUGCGGCAGUGAGGCCUGGGGUGCUAAGGUCCCCGGCCGAGAGGGAAAGAACCCAGACCAACAGCUAAGGUCCCUAAAUCUAGAUUAAGUUGAACAAAGGAGGUCCAGUUGCUUUGACAGCCAGGAGGUUGGCUUGGAAGCAGCCAUUCCUUUAAAGAGUGCGUAACAGCUCAC
RNAcentral lists this ribosomal RNA (218 nucleotides) under Ochromonas sp. CCMP1393. Its description in RNAcentral is "partial Bacterial large subunit ribosomal RNA". It matches the Rfam family "Bacterial large subunit ribosomal RNA", at positions 930 to 1145 of the family's 2925-position model. The record is from RNAcentral. Lineage: Eukaryota; Chrysophyceae; Chromulinales; Chromulinaceae.